GACGAACGCUGGCGGCGUGCCUAAUACAUGCAAGUAGAACGCUGAAGGAGGAGCUUGCUCUUCUGGAUGAGUUGCGAACGGGUGAGUAACGCGUAGGUAACCUGCCUGGUAGCGGGGGAUAACUAUUGGAAACGAUAGCUAAUACCGCAUAAGAGUAGAUGUUGCAUGACAUUUACUUAAAAGGUGCAAUUGCAUCACUACCAGAUGGACCUGCGUUGUAUUAGCUAGUUGGUGGGGUAACGGCUUACCAAGGCGACGAUACAUAGCCGACCUGAGAGGGUGAUCGGCCACACUGGGACUGAGACACGGCCCAGACUCCUACGGGAGGCAGCAGUAGGGAAUCUUCGGCAAUGGACGGAAGUCUGACCGAGCAACGCCGCGUGAGUGAAGAAGGUUUUCGGAUCGUAAAGCUCUGCUGUAAGAGAAGAACGAGUGUGAGAGUGGAAAGUUCACACUGUGACGGUAUCUUACCAGAAAGGGACGGCUAACUACGUG
RNAcentral lists this ribosomal RNA (495 nucleotides) under uncultured bacterium. Its description in RNAcentral is "partial 16S ribosomal RNA". It matches the Rfam family "Bacterial small subunit ribosomal RNA", at positions 28 to 507 of the family's 1533-position model. The record is from RNAcentral.